CAGCAGCCACGGUAAUACAUAGGGUGCGAGCGUUAAUCGGAUUUACUGGGCGUAAAGCGUGCGUAGGCGGCUUCUUAAGUCGGAUGUGAAAUCCCUGAGCUUAACUUAGGAAUUGCAUUCGAUACUGGGAAGCUAGAGUAUGGGAGAGGAUGGUAGAAUUCCAGGUGUAGCGGUGAAAUGCGUAGAGAUCUGGAGGAAUACCGAUGGCGAAGGCAGCCAUCUGGCCUAAUACUGACGCUGAGGUACGAAAGCAUGGGGAGCAAACAGGAUUAGAUACCCGAGUAGUCCCUGUCUCUUAUAC
This 301-nucleotide ribosomal RNA is filed under the name uncultured bacterium. RNAcentral's name for it is "partial 16S ribosomal RNA". It matches the Rfam family "Bacterial small subunit ribosomal RNA", at positions 509 to 807 of the family's 1533-position model. The record is from RNAcentral.